AAAGAAAGAAAGAAUGCAAUACGAUGCAUGUCAAAGUGGACACUGCCAGAGUCAGCACGUUGCGUGCUUUGUCAUUUGUUUUGUUCUUCUUCCCUUCUUCUUUUUCAU
RNAcentral lists this non-coding RNA (108 nucleotides) under Chromera velia. The record is from RNAcentral. Lineage: Eukaryota; Chromeraceae.